UUCUAAUGGAUAUAUGGUACCAGCAAUGCAC
This 31-nucleotide non-coding RNA is filed under the name Mus musculus (house mouse). Lineage: Eukaryota; Metazoa; Chordata; Mammalia; Rodentia; Muridae. The record is from RNAcentral.